This 477-nucleotide ribosomal RNA is filed under the name uncultured bacterium. RNAcentral describes it as "bacterial SSU rRNA". It matches the Rfam family "Bacterial small subunit ribosomal RNA", at positions 28 to 503 of the family's 1533-position model. The record is from RNAcentral.
GAUGAACGCUGGCGGCGUGCUUAACACAUGCAAGUCGAACGAAGCACUUUACUUGAUCUUUUCGGAGUGAUUGUUUUGUGACUGAGUGGCGGACGGGUGAGUAACGCGUGGGUAACCUGCCUCAUACAGGGGGAUAGCAGCUGGAAACGGCUGGUAAUACCGCAUAAGCGCACGGUAUCGCAUGAUACAGUGUGAAAAACUCCGGUGGUAUGAGAUGGACCCGCGUCUGAUUAGCUAGUUGGUGAGGUAACGGCCCACCAAGGCGACGAUCAGUAGCCGACCUGAGAGGGUGACCGGCCACAUUGGGACUGAGACACGGGCCCAGACUCCUACGGGAGGCAGCAGUGGGGAAUAUUGCACAAUGGAGGAAACUCUGAUGCAGCGACGCCGCGUGAGUGAAGAAGUAGUUCGCUAAUGUAAAAGCUCUAUCAGCAGGGAAGAUAGUGACGGUACCUGACUAAGAGCUCCGGCUAAAAU